RNAcentral lists this ribosomal RNA (253 nucleotides) under uncultured bacterium. Its description in RNAcentral is "partial 16S ribosomal RNA". It matches the Rfam family "Bacterial small subunit ribosomal RNA", at positions 524 to 776 of the family's 1533-position model. The record is from RNAcentral.
UACGGGGGGGGCAAGCGUUGUUCGGAAUUACUGGGCGUAAAGGGCCCGUAGGCGGCCAACUAAGUCAGACGUGAAAUCCCUCGGCUUAACCGGGGAACUGCGUCUGAUACUGGAUGGCUUGAGUUUGGGAGAGGGAUGCGGAAUUCCAGGUGUAGCGGUGAAAUGCGUAGAUAUCUGGAGGAACACCGGUGGCGAAGGCGGCAUCCUGGACCGGUAUUGACGCUGAGGCGCGAAAGCUAGGGGAGCAAACGGG